ACCAGACUCCUACGGGAGGCAGCAGUGGGGAAUAUUGCACAAUGGGGGAAACCCUGAUGCAGCGACGCCGCGUGAGCGAUGAAGUAUUUCGGUAUGUAAAGCUCUAUCAGCAGGGAAGAAAAUGACGGUACCUGACUAAGAAGCCCCGGCUAACUACGUGCCAGCAGCCGCGGUAAUACGUAGGGGGCAAGCGUUAUCCGGAUUUACUGGGUGUAAAGGGAGCGUAGACGGCGAUGCAAGCCAGAUGUGAAAGCCCGGGGCUCAACCCCGGGACUGCUUUGGAAACUGUAUGGCUGGAGUGCAGGAGAGGUAAGUGGAAUUCCUAGUGUAGCGGUGAAAUGCGUAGAUAUUAGGAGGAACACCAGUGGCGAAGGCGGCCUGCUGGACGAUGACUGACGCUGAGGCUCGAAAGCGUGGGGAGCAAACAGGAUUAGAUACCCCAGUA
Molecule: ribosomal RNA, 445 nt
Filed under: uncultured bacterium
Lineage: Bacteria
Description: partial 16S ribosomal RNA
Rfam family: Bacterial small subunit ribosomal RNA
Source: RNAcentral